ACCCUCAUUCUUCUCCUUCACGUAGAGAACCCCACGCUUAGAGAACCCUAGACUUCCAUCUGUUCAUCCUUCUCCUUCUGUUUCAACUAUUAUGAUCCAUCAACCUAUGCAAUUAAUUGAUUCAAUCCAUAACAUUCCAGAAACCCUAAUUUCAGAAACCCGAUAAUAAGACCCUUUUCAGUCAAUAACAUUCCAAAAACCCUAUUUUCGGUCACCGCCGAUCAAGCAAAUCCACCACCAUCUCUUCCGAUUACAUUAGCAUCUGGUAAGUCAAUGUAUUUCUUCUUAUUUUCCUAUGAUUUCAUCUAUCUUUCAUCGAUGAUUUCGUUCAAUUACAUCUAAAUUGCAAAUGAUAUAGGUUUUUUGAUUUCAUCUGAUACGAUUUAUGAUCUGCGUUUUUUUUCUGAGAUUGAUCGUAUUUAGGUCAUCCUCAAGUACAUGCCUAAUGAGGCUCUGUUGUUGAAGGUGUACAGUGAGUUGCUAGAGAAUAUUAGGUUGAAUGUAGGUAUUGAUAAAAUUUAGGGUUUGCAAUUAAUUAUGUUAUAUAUUUUUAGUAGUUAUGUUAGUUGUUUAAUUGACUGAUGUUUGGAUUUGUGAAGUUUUGGAAUGUAUAUGUUUUUGUUGAUUCGGUUAUUAAAGACCCUAAUCUUCCUCCAGACGCCACCAUCAAAUCUUCUUUUGUUCAUCAAUUAUCUUCAUUCAAAAGGUUUGUUCUUUUUUUUUAUUGAAAUACUUCCAUGAUUUCCUCUUAUUUACACUAAUAUUUUGUGUUUCGAGUCUUUUCGUGUAACCAUUGCUAGGGUUUUGUUUCACACCAUCACUGAGGCGGCGACUGCACAAAGUGACAAUUAAAGAAGCUGGAUGUAUACAUUCUUCCUAUUAUUCAAGGAUUUAUAUUUACAUGCUGGGGAGCAGAGGAAUAAGUCGAGGGUGGAGAAUACACUGAAGGAUGUACUCAUUAGUGGUACUGCAACAUCAUGUCUACUAAUUGGAGGUAGCAUCAAAUCCAAGUAUUUCACUGAAUAUGCCUGAUACAAUAAAGAACUUAGCCUGCCUGCAGCUCUUGAUGAGACAAUGAAAUCUGAGCCAUAUAAAUACGAUAAAAAAACUAGACACGGUGAAGGUGAUAAAAAUCUUAAAUACCAUGAAAAGACGAAAAAAGAAGUGAAACUAGUGACAUGUCAGGUAAGGAGAAAAUUGAUACAGCUGAAAGAUGCUAUAAUGCUGACGAGGAUAGUAGCACAUUGAAACGGGAGAGGGGUAAAAAAGACACUGAUCGCUCUAUAGGGUCUAAGACACCUGAGAGAAGCAUAAGACGUCAUCACGAUAGUGAAUACAGUGAAAUGGAGACAAAAGUGGCAGUUACAGAAGGAAGGAUCUAGAAAAAGACAGUUAUAGGGAUGAAAGAUCACGAGGAAGAGAUGACAGCCGGAAAAGAAGGCAUGAAACAAAAGACGGUGAUGCCCCUUAUGACUAUACUAGAGAUUGGGAGUCACCAUCUCAAAGACGUGAUCGUGAUCGGGUCGACACGAAAAGACAUAUGGGUUGGAACAGGACCUAUGAUGUGAUAGAGAUCGAAAUUAAAGCUUAUGAUUUAUUGGAGGAAGAAUGAAGUUGAUGAGCAAUCUGCUAUUGCAAGAAACGCUGAUGAUCAAUCUGUUGAAAAUUCAAAAGAUUGAUAUGGAGACGAUGGAAACAAGGAUGAUAUCUAGGGUGGGAUAGGUAGAGGGAAAAAAGGUAAUUUACUCAAUCGUCCAGGUGGCGGCUGGCAAGGACAAUCUAACAACAGAAUGAGGAGGGGAGGAAAGGUACGGCCCACCGGGAGAGACAGUCAACCAGUCAACAUGCAAGUGCCAGUGAUGGGGUCACCUUUCGGACCACUCGGGAUGCCGCCACCUGGCGGCAUGCAAUCACUUACUCCCGCCAUGUCACUUGGUCCCGGUCCUCUCAUGUCUCCAGCUGUCUUUGUGAAAUGAUUUCAGCUUUAGGAUGUUAAAUGAUUUUGGAUGUACUCUGGCGAUGGCGAUGAUGCAGAGUUGUUGGUGAAGCUCAGGUUAACAAAGGUGAUGGUGGUGGUCAUAUGUGUUCCUGUGACGAUUUAAGGUGAGACAACUUCGAGCAGAGUUUCACACUGUUUCCAAAGGAGUUGCGUAGGGUUUUAGUCUCUUAACAUUAUUACACGUUUACACACACAUGACGAAAUGAUUUGGUCUUUCAGCAAGCACAUUUCUUAUUCCAGGGGGAUAUUUUUUCGUUUAUGGGCAUUGUUCAAAAAACAAGUGACAACUUGGAGGACUGCUAUGCUAAUGUCUUAAAAAUAUGCCAAAUUAAAUUGGAGCAAGAUGCUUAUGUGCACUGAGUGCUCCAACUAAUUUAGAUGUGCAACCACUUCCCUUAUAACAAAUUAUGCAUAUUCCAAAUGUUUCAAACAUGCGUAGGGUUCAUAUGAAAAUAAAAGACAAUAUUAUUUCAUUAUAAAAAACCCCCACAAAUUAUUUAGGGCA
Molecule: long non-coding RNA, 2504 nt
Organism: Helianthus annuus (common sunflower)
Lineage: Eukaryota; Viridiplantae; Streptophyta; Magnoliopsida; Asterales; Asteraceae
Exons: 8
Source: RefSeq, a predicted model, not a curated record